CCUACGGGAGGCAGCAGUAGGGAAUCUUCGGCAAUGGACGGAAGUCUGACCGAGCAACGCCGCGUGAGUGAAGAAGGUUUUCGGAUCGUAAAGCUCUGUUGUAAGAGAAGAACGAGUGUGAGAGUGGAAAGUUCACACUGUGACGGUAUCUUACCAGAAAGGGACGGCUAACUACGUGCCAGCAGCCGCGGUAAUACGUAGGUCCCGAGCGUUGUCCGGAUUUAUUGGGCGUAAAGCGAGCGCAGGCGGUUAGAUAAGUCUGAAGUUAAAGGCUGUGGCUUAACCAUAGUACGCUUUGGAAACUGUUUAACUUGAGUGCAAGAGGGGAGAGUGGAAUUCCAUGUGUAGCGGUGAAAUGCGUAGAUAUAUGGAGGAACACCGGUGGCGAAAGCGGCUCUCUGGCUUGUAACUGACGCUGAGGCUCGAAAGCGUGGGGAGCAAACAGGAUUAGAUACCCUGGUAGUCCACGCAGUAAACGAUGAUAACUGGGCGUAUGCGAUAUACAGUAUGCUCCUAAGCGAAAGCGUUAAGUUAUCCACCUGGGGAGUACGCCGGCAACGGUGAAACUCAAAGGAAUUGACGG
RNAcentral lists this ribosomal RNA (583 nucleotides) under uncultured bacterium. Its description in RNAcentral is "bacterial SSU rRNA". It matches the Rfam family "Bacterial small subunit ribosomal RNA", at positions 338 to 916 of the family's 1533-position model. The record is from RNAcentral.